CGGGAGGCAGCAGUAGGGAAUCUUCCGCAAUGGACGAAAGUCUGACGGAGCAACGCCGCGUGAGUGACGAAGGCUUUCGGGUCGUAAAACUCUGUUGUUAGGGAAGAACAAGUGCUAGUUGAAUAAGCUGGCACCUUGACGGUACCUAACCAGAAAGCCACGGCUAACUACGUGCCAGCAGCCGCGGUAAUACGUAGGUGGCAAGCGUUAUCCGGAAUUAUUGGGCGUAAAGCGCGCGCAGGUGGUUUCUUAAGUCUGAUGUGAAAGCCCACGGCUCAACCGUGGAGGGUCAUUGGAAACUGGGAGACUUGAGUGCAGAAGAGGAAAGUGGAAUUCCAUGUGUAGCGGUGAAAUGCGUAGAGAUAUGGAGGAACACCAGUGGCGAAGGCGACUUUCUGGUCUGUAACUGACACUGAGGCGCGAAAGCGUGGGGAGCAAACAGGAUUAGAUACCCUGGUAGUCCACGCCGUAAACGAUGAGUGCUAAGUGUUAGAGGGUUUCCGCCCUUUAGUGCUGAAGUUAGCGCAUUAAGCACUCCGCCUGGGGAGUACGGCCGCAAGGCUGAAACUCAAAUGAAUUG
Molecule: ribosomal RNA, 580 nt
Filed under: uncultured bacterium
Lineage: Bacteria
Description: bacterial SSU rRNA
Rfam family: Bacterial small subunit ribosomal RNA
Source: RNAcentral